GAGCGGGCUGUUCGCCGUGAAAGGUGGCAUGCGAAAGAUGGAGAUCGCUUUUGCUGUGUGCAUUUCGCGCCGGAGUGCUUCGACCGCACCGGACAGACAACACGACUGCGUGCGGGUGAAAAGGAAGCGUCCAGGCCGCAAGCAUGAAGACUGGUUCCAGAAAGUGGAGGACCACAACCUUGAUCUUGAUCCACUUGAUAACCAUAUUUAUAUUUUGUGCAAAAAAAUCGCUGAAGAAUAUAUAAAAGUGAGAAUACACCACAUGACGAAAGAACGAAACUGUGAACUUAUCAAAAACAAAGCGAGACCACUUUUGUCGAGGGUGAUUAUUUUCAAUCACCAGUAGGGUGUUUGUCAUGGUGUUCUUGACUGUAUGUGAGACUUUCUCCUUAAUAUCUGCUCAUUUGAACUCCCUUCUGCGUAUCAGUUGGCUGCUGGUUGAUGGUAAAUAAACGACUACAACUAGAA
Non-coding RNA from Dermacentor andersoni, 468 nucleotides. The record is from RefSeq and is a predicted model, not a curated record. Lineage: Eukaryota; Metazoa; Arthropoda; Arachnida; Ixodida; Ixodidae.